RNAcentral lists this transfer RNA (71 nucleotides) under Polypedates leucomystax (Java whipping frog). Its description in RNAcentral is "tRNA-Trp". It matches the Rfam family "tRNA". From Rfam's summary of the family: Transfer RNA (tRNA) molecules are approximately 80 nucleotides in length. Their secondary structure includes four short double-helical elements and three loops (D, anti-codon, and T loops). Further hydrogen bonds mediate the characteristic L-shaped molecular structure. tRNAs have two regions of fundamental functional importance: the anti-codon, which is responsible for specific mRNA codon recognition, and the 3' end, to which the tRNAs corresponding amino acid is attached (by aminoacyl-tRNA synthetases). tRNAs cope with the degeneracy of the genetic code in two manners: having more than one tRNA (with a specific anti-codon) for a particular amino acid; and 'wobble' base-pairing, i.e. permitting non-standard base-pairing at the 3rd anti-codon position. Lineage: Eukaryota; Metazoa; Chordata; Amphibia; Anura; Rhacophoridae. The record is from RNAcentral.
AGAAAUUUAGGGUAAUGUCAGCCCGAAGGCCUUCAAAGCCUCAAGCAAGAGUUUAAUUCUCUUAAUUUCUG